CAGCAGAACAGAAAAUCACACCAGGAUACUAUAAUGAUGUCAUCACUGUUGGACUGUCGGCAGAUCGUCAGACAGCAGACGUGCCAGAGCAUUAUGAUGAUGUCAUCAUUGUCAGACAGAACAUUCAAGGUAUAAAUGCAGACGUGUCAGAGAAUUAUGAUGAUGUCAUCAUUAUUAGACAGAACAGUCAAGGUAUAAAUGACUAUGAGGAUGUGGAGGAGGAGUCAAAUUGAUCUAACAGCCAUGCCUAUAAAAUCAUAAGGGUCUGAAGAUAUUAGCAGCUUAUGGGACCUUUAUUAUUGCUAUUAAAUCUUCAUUGCCUUUGACAUCAGAUGAUCUAUUACCAGAAUUAUAUGCAAAAAAAUUCUAAUAUAUUUUAAUCCUUACUAUAUUAGCUUAUCAUUUAUAUAUUACUUCAGUGGGGUAUUUCAGGAAGCAGGUUAUAUGACCUACCCGGGUAAGUUUAGGAGUAAGUAAGCAGAUAACUCUCUUUUCGGUUCCAAAAAUGGAGGUAACUUUCGGGUUAUGUAAGUAUGUACGCAUAUAUUUUGCAUAAUAUUAUAAUGUUAAAGCAUUUAUUUUAUUACAUUUACAGUCAUGAGUAUUAAUUGCUGUCUAUUUCUGUCUUAGAAAAUGUAUGUUUUCUUUUUAAAAAUAAAAUACUUUUUUA
Molecule: non-coding RNA, 670 nt
Organism: Misgurnus anguillicaudatus (oriental weatherfish)
Lineage: Eukaryota; Metazoa; Chordata; Actinopteri; Cypriniformes; Cobitidae
Source: RefSeq, a predicted model, not a curated record